AGAUGGCGCCGACAUCCAGCCUUGUCUGGAUAUAAACGACUUACUGCGCAUGUGCAGGCUUGUCCCCUUGCUAGGGCUCCCUCUAGUGGUGAACAGCGGUACUGCACAUGUGCGGUUUAUGCACCAGGUGUUAGUUGACCGUUAAUAUGCUAAUGAGGUGAUUCAUUCUCGGCCAAUCCCUGGAGGACAAGUAGUGGGGUGAUCCAAGCCCCACCAAUCCCUGAGAGAUAAUUAGCAUACUGUUGUCUAUAUAAGCCGAGCGAUUUUGCUGCUCGGAGUCCCUGUUCAAGAGAGCUGUAACACUAAGAGAGCUGUAACACUAAGAAGAGCUGUAACACAGUAAAGGCUUGCUCGCAGAAGAAUCCUGUUGCCACGCGUCGUUCUUGCUGGCGGGACAUUGGGCGCGCGACACCUCCGAACCUCUGGUGGACCCCAGACCCUGGUCGAAUGCCCUGCGGGACGGGGCAAGCAAUGACCUCAUGCAGACCUGGAAGACGGUAUGUUUUACAUGUAGAUUCAACAACUGCUUCUGCCAGUGGUGGGCAUACACGCCACAACAGAGUUCGAAAUGACAGCCAGAGGACUCCCAGGAACCCAAGCCACAGAGAAAAAGCUAAGAGAAUACCACGCAUGCCACCAGCCCUGCGGUCUCAGGAUAAGCCUGCCACACAUCAGCCUGUGAAGCCAUCUGGCAAGAGGAGCCUGAGACAGGCAGAGGGUUAGGGAAGAGGCAGACGUUGUAGGCGCUCCAGGGAUGGAGGAGAAGGGUGUCGCUCAGAGUGGGGAACUCCCAGGAAAUGGAGGUCAUCUGAUGUCCAGGCAAGUCUAAGGGCUGUGAAAAUAAGUCCAGAAAUGUCCUGGUCAUCUCCAGCCCUUUAAGAUGGUCUGAAAGGUGAAAGCCACACCCAAAAAUCCACGGAGGUUCAGAAGGCAAGACUGCCACCUAACUACUAUAGGGGCCUUGGUGAGUAGAGAGGACCCUGGCCAUCGACAUCCCAAAGACUCGUGUCCUUGCUGAUUGGAGGGCACCAGAGUUUAGAAGGCAAGGGAACACAAAGUAAGGAAAGACCAUGACUGUGGAGGAGCUAACCUGACGGAAGCUCUGUGUGAGAAGUCGAUAUGGAGGAAAGAGAGUUAAAGCAACACAGCCUCUGACUGACUUCACUCUACUCCACUCGUCUGCUUCCCUGCUAACCCUGACCUCACAUCGUCCGUGUGGAGGCCACAUCCCUCAGUUGCAUGGCUGUACACCUGUGCCCCGAAGGACAGCGCUUUGGAUUCCUGGCAGAACAGAUGGACUCCUUGGCUGAAUUGUGCCUGGGAUUGAGGUAAUGACCGGUUGUUCUCCCCUGGGCUGUCCUCCCUGUCCCACUUCACCUACCUUCCCAUGGUUGCUUCCUGAGCCUCAUUCCAAUGUAUUGCCUUACCUGCCCCUGCCCCAUGGGUCUCAGGCCCACGUGGGUCUGCAGGAUCUCAUAAGUUCCAGGAUCGAUAAUCGUUCUCCCAGCUACCUCAGGGGAAAAACACCUUCAGAGGGCACGGCCUGGUGACCUGCUCCCUCCCUGCUCAGGGGAGCUGGAGUCUCCACGGGUAGGCAGAGGAACAAAAGAGACCGCAGACACACUCAUGGAAUCCCACCAAUGCACAGAGCCGGGGGCAGAAGGCCCACUCCCCUCUCCUAUGCUCUCAACUCUGCCAUUUAUUUCACAGCAGAGGGGCUGUGGGGACAUUAGCAUUCAUGUGUGCAGCAGCAAGCCGGCAGACGCUUCGGAGAGAAUUCCUCGGUAAUGAGAAGGCAAUACCCUACCAGCUUUCAAUGCUCUGACUGGCUGUUUCAUGGAACCCAAGGUGGAGAAAACAGCUCCAUCAAUUUGUUUUGGUUUACUGAUUGCCCUGUUGUCUCUGCCUGCGUGGUGUCAGAUUGGUGCCGUGACCCCCGAGAGCCUCUGCUGGCUCCAAUAUUUUCCAGCUCACAGCUAACCUCACUAUGUCCUUCCUACUUACAGUACUGAUAUUCUCUGACAAAAUGGAGAAUCUCUCCUCGGUGCAUAGGCAGUUUCAGAAUGGACUUCAGUGACCAGGGGUGUCCCUCAGCAUUGUUGAAGGAGAACUGGCAGCAGGUGACUUCUGAGUCACCAGUCACACUUAGUAAAGCCCCAGAAGAGUCAAGCAUUGUAUAUCCCAGACUGGAAUCUCUUGUAUGACUUUUUCUGAGGAGACACAAACAAACAUCUUCCCACCCCAGACAAGUACUGGCAACACACCAAAGAAAUAGUUCCACUCAAGACCAGCUUAGCAAACCAAAGAACUUUUCAGGGUUUCUUCCUUCCUUUCUUCCUUCCUUCCUUCCUUCCUUCCUUUCUUUCUUUCUUUCUUUCUUUCUUUCUUUCUUUCUUUCUCUCUUUCUUUCUUUUUAAAGAUAGAUAGAUAGAUAGAUAGAUAGAUAGAUAGAUAGAUAGAUAGAUAGAUAGAUUUCAUGCAUAUGAGUACCCUAUAGCUGUCUUCAGACACACUAGAAGAUGGCAUCAAAUCUCAUUACAGAUGGUUGGGAGCCACCAUGUGGUUGCUGGGAAUUGAACUCAGGACCUCUGGAAGAGCAGUCAGUGCUCUUAACCCCUGAGCGAUCUCUCCAGCCCUUUUGGGGAUUUCUGACAAGAGCGUGCAUGACUGAGGUAACCACUCUUGAGAAGCCCACAGAGAGAUGAUUCCCAGGGCCUUAUUCCACAAUCUGUGGGUGGUUCCAUCCUUUUAAAGGAUCUUCUCUCCUUAGUCACUGUUACUGCUUGUAUAACCCUGGGCCUUGGGGAUCUUGUAAAUUUCAGGAGCUUUCUGUAUCUUGUAUGUUUUGUUUACUUCCUGAAUAUUACAGGCCUCCUUCCUCUUUCCAGGGCUUUCAAUUUGGAGAAAAUCACUAGAUAACAAAUAUGCUUACGCCCACAGUCCUGUUCAGCAAGAUCUUGUGCACAGGUCUAGAAAACCAAAAGCUGGGAGACUGUAGUACUAGACUGUGUGUCUAUGAGAUGUUCUUCACAGGCUUACAUGUCUGAACACUGUCUCUAAGCUGAAAGUACUGUUCAGAGAGACUGUGGAAUCUUUGGGCAGUAGGGCCUAGCUGGCAGUCAUAAGCUACUAGGAGCAGGCAGACCUUGAGGGUGCCAACCCUAUCCUGCGUCUGGUCUCGACUCUGUUUUCUGGUUGUUUUGCAGGUGAGAGGCUGCCACUGCCUUGGGCAGAUCUUGUCCUGCUACUAUGGUGGACUAUAUCUAUGAACCGUGAGCCCAAAUAAAUCUUCUUCCCUUAAUUUGUGUCUGUCAGAUGUUUGAUCACAAUGA
Rattus norvegicus (Norway rat) is the source of this 3332-nucleotide non-coding RNA. NCBI's taxonomy places the organism in Eukaryota, Metazoa, Chordata, Mammalia, Rodentia, Muridae. The record is from RefSeq and is a predicted model, not a curated record.